GCUGGGCACAGUGGUGUGUGCCUAUAAUCCCAGUGGUUUGGGAGGCUGAGGCAGGAGGAUUGUGAGUUCAAACACAGCUUCAGCAACUUAGCAAGACCCUAAGCAACUCAAGUGAGACCCUGUCUCUA
This 128-nucleotide small RNA is filed under the name Marmota monax (woodchuck). Lineage: Eukaryota; Metazoa; Chordata; Mammalia; Rodentia; Sciuridae. The record is from RNAcentral.